GAUGAACGCUGGCGGCGUGCCUAAUACAUGCAAGUCGAGCGAACGGACGAGAAGCUUGCUUCUCUGAUGUUAGCGGCGGACGGGUGAGUAACACGUGGAUAACCUACCUAUAAGACUGGGAUAACUUCGGGAAACCGGAGCUAAUACCGGAUAAUAUUUUGAACCGCAUGGUUCAAACGUGAAAGACGGUCUUGCUGUCACUUAUAGAUGGAUCCGCGCUGCAUUAGCUAGUUGGUAAGGUAACGGCUUACCAAGGCAACGAUGCAUAGCCGACCUGAGAGGGUGAUCGGCCACACUGGAACUGAGACACGGUCCAGACUCCUACGGGAGGCAGCAGUAGGGAAUCUUCCGCAAGGGGCGAGAGCCUGACGGAGCAACGCCGCGGGAGUGAUGAAGGUCUUCGGAUCGUAAAACUCUGUUAUUAGGGAAGAACAGAUGUGUAAGUAACUGUGCACAUCUUGACGGUACCUAAUCAGAAAGCCACGGCUAACUACGUG
RNAcentral lists this ribosomal RNA (497 nucleotides) under uncultured bacterium. RNAcentral's name for it is "partial 16S ribosomal RNA". It matches the Rfam family "Bacterial small subunit ribosomal RNA", at positions 28 to 507 of the family's 1533-position model. The record is from RNAcentral.